Molecule: long non-coding RNA, 256 nt
Filed under: Mytilus galloprovincialis (Mediterranean mussel)
Lineage: Eukaryota; Metazoa; Mollusca; Bivalvia; Mytilida; Mytilidae
Source: RNAcentral
GGGGGGGGGGGUUGAGAUCUCACAAACAUGUUUAACCCCGCCGCAUUUUUGCGCCUGUCCCAAGUCAGGAGCCUCUGGCCUUUGUUAGUCUUGAAUUAUUUUAAUUUUAGUUUCUUGUGUACAAUUUGGAAAUUAGUAUGGCGUUCAUUAUCACUGAACUAGUAUAUAUUUGUUUAGGGGCCAGUUGAAGGACGCCUCCGGGUGCGGGAAUUUCUCGCUACAUUGAAGACCUGUUGGUGACCUUCUGCUGUUGUUU